Molecule: ribosomal RNA, 868 nt
Filed under: Tylenchorhynchus clarus
Lineage: Eukaryota; Metazoa; Nematoda; Chromadorea; Rhabditida; Telotylenchidae
Description: SSU rRNA
Rfam family: Eukaryotic small subunit ribosomal RNA
Source: RNAcentral
CAAGAUUAAGCCAUGCAUGUAUAAGUAUAAACGACUUGAUCGUGAAACCGCGAACGGCUCAUUAUAACAGCUAUAAUUUACUUGAUCUUGACAACCUACUUGGAUAACUGUGGUAAUUCUAGAGCUAAUACAUGCACCAAAGCUCCGACCGUAAGGAAAGAGCGCAUUUAUUAGAACAAAACCAAGCGGCUUCGGCCGUUCACUGUUGACUCAGAAUAACUAAGCUGAUCGCAUGGUCUUGCACCGGCGACGUGUCUUUCAAGUAUCUGCCUUAUCAACUUUCGAUGGUAGUGUAUCUGACUACCAUGGUAGUGACGGGUAACGGAGGAUAAGGGUUCGACUCCGGAGAAGGGGCCUGAGAAAUGGCCACUACGUCUAAGGAUGGCAGCAGGCGCGCAAAUUACCCACUCUCAGAACGAGGAGGUAGUGACGAGAAAUAACAAGACCGUUCUCUUCAGAGGCCGGUCAUUGGAAUGGGUACAAUUUAAACCCUUUAACGAGUAUCUAUGAGAGGGCAAGUCUGGUGCCAGCAGCCGCGGUAAUUCCAGCUCUCAAAAUGCAUAGAACCAUUGCUGCGGUUAAAAAGCUCGUAGUUGGAUCUGUGCUGACCUCCCGGUCCACUUUCGGGUGCGCACUGGCGGGGUUGGCUUUCUGUCGUUUUUGGGCUGUUGCCCUUUACUGGGUAGCAGAUUCCGGACGGCAAGUUUACUUUGAACAAAUCAGAGUGCUUCAAACAGGCGUUUCGCUUGAAUGUUCGUGCAUGGAAUAAUAGAAGAGGAUUUCGGUUCUAUUUUAUUGGUUUUAUAGACUGAGAUAAUGGUUAACAGAGACAAACGGGGGCAUUCGUAUUGCUACGUGAGAGGUGAAU